This 201-nucleotide long non-coding RNA is filed under the name Mytilus galloprovincialis (Mediterranean mussel). The record is from RNAcentral. Lineage: Eukaryota; Metazoa; Mollusca; Bivalvia; Mytilida; Mytilidae.
CCUGCGAUACAUGCCAUGAUUUGAUUUUGUUUUCCAAACCAAUGUCAAUAUCUUCUAUAUCAUCUAAAGCACGGAAUUGUAGGACAGUAACUGACACGAAAGCAGAGGCUUGGAGCACAGUAAAUAUCAGUAAGGAUGACAGCCAUGGUGACGUACCUUCCUCGACAGACAUGAUUAUAGAGUUAAGAUAAGACAAACCAC